Bos taurus (domestic cattle) is the source of this 585-nucleotide long non-coding RNA. The record is from Ensembl. Lineage: Eukaryota; Metazoa; Chordata; Mammalia; Artiodactyla; Bovidae.
GUAACUCCUGAGCUGCCAUCUCAGCCUAGGAGGAGAACUGGAGUGAGGAAGGCAGACCUGGUGGGGGCCACAAACAAGCGCUCAGAGGCAGGCGCACCAGGGCACAUGAAAUGGGCUUUAAGAAGGGAUGCUCGUUAUAAAAAGAGUCGGAGACGACUGAAGCAACUUAGCACACACACAGGCAGUGUGUGUACAUAUAUACACACAUCAAUGCUGCUUUGUCAAUUGCCCUACUUUCUUGGUGGCUCAGACGGUAAAGCAUCUGACUGCAAUGCAGGAGACCUGGGUUCAAUCCCUGGGCUGGGAAAGAUCCCCUGGAGGAGGAAAUGGCAACCCACCCCAGUACUCUUGCCUGGAAAACCCCAUGGAGGAGGAGCGUGGCUCUCGGGUCACCCACGUCACUACAGCUGACCAGAUCCGUUCUUUUUUACGGCUGAGUAAUGGGCAUUGGAAUUCGUACAGAGGCUACGAUACGGAUGAACCAGGAGGACCCUGUCCUGAAUGAAAGAAGCCAGGCAGGAAGGGACAAAUCCUGAAGAAUUCCACUCCUACGAGGUCCCCAGAGGCACCAAAUCCAUUGGGAAG